UUAUUGGCUGAGAAAACAUCACUACUAAUUGAUCCAUAACAACCCCUCCAUAACCCUGUUGCAAUUGAUUACUAUCGUUAUUAUUCCAUUGGCUACCAAAGUUUAACCAGAUCGGAGCAUAUUUUUUUUUGGUGGUUUCGCUAAGCCUACUGAACGUCCACCAGAUACAGUCUUUUCGUUGGACUCAUUUUCCUCAGGUGAGUGUGCCUUCCUUCUUAUAUCAGUAGGACUACGACCAAGUAAAAACCUGAACUCAUCAAUGAAUAAACAAUUUGUAAUCGAACCUCAUAUGAAAAAUGAAGAAGAACCAGUGUUUGUUCGUGUGCCAAAAAAAAUUAAAAUAGACAUGUAUAGAGCAUUGAGGCGAUUUUCGAGAAGCAAGUUCUUCCCCAAAGUAUUGUUAUAUGAUUUUAAACCUUUUCCUUUCGGUUUUCCAUUACAAUUCGUCAAUCUUCAUCCAAAAAUCUAGGGCUUUAUAGUAGAAAUUGGGGGUUUUGGGUAGAGUUAGGGCUUUGUGAAUUUUGGGUGAUUCAACCACAAUUUGGUAGAAUUUUGAAAUAAAUUAUAUAUUUGACUCGUGAGGUUAUGGGUGAUUGGGUUUUGGUCCGAGACUCGAGUUGGACCACGUGGGCCCGUUGUCGGAUUUUAGUAUUUUUGAAAGUAAGCUAGGAAAUGCAUUUCUAGGCUAUAGGAUUGUGUUUUUGGAUUCUUAUUGAUAAUAUUGAACCUGAUUAUGUUAGAUAUCGUUGGUUCGGGGUCGAAUUCUAGAACUAUGUGAUUGUGUUUUUGGAUUCUUAUUGAUAAAUUUGAAUCGAAUUAUAUUAUAUAUCGUUGGUUCAGGGUCAAAUUCUAGAAGAAAGGCGAUUGUUGAGCUUUGAGUUGUUAUUUUCGGAUUCGAGGUAAGUUUUUUAUCUAACUUUGGCUUAAGGGAAUAUGAUUAUGUUGUUAAUUGCUAUGUGCUAUGUGGGGUCGGUGUAUAGGUAUGGUGACAGUUACCUAUGCGCCCGAGUCAAGCAUGACCGUGAUGUCAUAUUUGUUAUUAAAUUGUGAAUCAAGUGAACAAUUGUGAUAAAUAAUUAUUUCAAGCACAAUGAAGUGAAAGUUGAGAAUUAAAUGAACUAAAAGGAUUUUUUGGUACUUUUCCCUUGACGGGAACAUUUGUUGAGUUGUAUUCCCUUGCUGGGAUAUAUUAUUGAGUUGUAUUCUCUUGCCGGGACAUAUUGUUGAGUUGUGUUUCCCUUGGCGGGAUCACUUGUUGUAUUAUUCUCCCUUGCCGGGAUAUUUUGUCUUGAUAUAUAUAUUUCCUUGUUCCCGUUUGGUUGUGACCAUUGAUUGGGAGAGGAAUAGAGAGUAAAAGCACGAAGGGUGAUACUGCGCACUGUUUAUUGAGAGUAAAAGUACGUAGGGUGAUGCCGUGCCUUGUAUUUAAUAUUCAUGGUGAGGAAUGAGAUUAAAAGCAUGAAGGGUGAUGCCGUGUAGUAUAUUUGAUUACCUUGGUGAGGAGUGAGAGUAAAAGCACUAAGGGUGAUGCCGUGCAGCUGUCUAUUCAUUGGCUUGCUUGUUAAGUCAUUAUUUAUUUAGUUUCAUCUCCUGAUUGUAGAAGUUAUAAUUGAACUGUUACACCCUCAGCGUGUUUCCCUUCCCCUUUAUUCGCUUAAAUUCUUGCUUUCUUCCUGUUAUUACAUAUAUCUGCAUAGUUUGGCUGUGAUACGUCCGGUUUAGCCUCGUCACUACCUCGCCGAGGUUAGGCCGGGAACUUUUCAGCAUAUGUGGUCGGUUGUGCUGAUACUACGCUUCUGUGCCUUUUUGUGCACAGGUCAUGACCCAGGUUAUGGACCGCAGCUUUAGAUCAGGAGUGAUCCUUCAGUCCAGAGGCUCUGAGGUAGUUCACUGGCGUUCGCGGGCCCCAAGCCUCCUCUAUCUUUUCUAGUUUGUUUCAUUUGUAUCAAACAGACUUCAGUUGUAUUUCUUUCACACUAUUAUUUUUACUACUCUUUAGUUGUCCAUGAGCAGUGACACCGGAUACUGGGUAGAGACAGGUUGUUAGUUUUCCGCAUCUUAUUUUAUUGUUUUUGUUAUUAAAAGUUUUCAUACUAUUAUUUUUAGUACUCUUUAGUUGUCCGUGAGCAGUGACACCAAAUACUGGGUAGAGAUAGGUUUUUAGUUUUCCGCAUCUUAUUCUAUUGUUAUUGUUAUUAAAAGACUUCUGC
This 2210-nucleotide long non-coding RNA is filed under the name Nicotiana benthamiana. RNAcentral's name for it is "long non-coding RNA (NBEN_LNC019741)". Lineage: Eukaryota; Viridiplantae; Streptophyta; Magnoliopsida; Solanales; Solanaceae. The record is from RNAcentral.